AACGCGGGUACUGCGCAGGCGCAGAGGACGCUGCUCCCGGUCGCCGUCGCCCGAGUUUGGUCUCCCGACGCACCCGCGGGUUUUGACAGGAGCCGUGCAUCUUCAUGCCUUCGUGAACACGUGUAGAGUUACCUUCACAGGCCGCCUAGGCCCUGGCCAAUUCGCCCUUCCUCUGCCCGUCCGCUCAGCCGGCUUCCCGCUAACCUUGACAAGCAUUUCUGCGCACGGUGCACGCUUCUUGCAUUUUUUUUUCCUUCUUUGAACUAAAACCGAAACAAACUCCUGUUUUCUCGAGUGGUUUCUGUAGCGGCGCUGAACCGGAACACCCCAGAUGCUUUCUCUCGGUGAGAGGGUGAGCUGGUAGUCAGCCCAUUUCUCACACGCGGAAACUGAGGCCUGCGGAGAGGCGGCCCCGGACAGAGAUGAGGAAAGUCAGGAAGAUGCGCAUGAGGCCCAGAAAGUUUGUGCUGAGAUUUGAAGAAGGAGAAGAAAAAGAAGGCGGAAUGCUUACCCUGGAAGGGGAACGGCAGCGACAGAGCAAGUCUCAGGAAGGGCCUGGUGUGUGUUAGAGCAGGUGCACAAGUACGUGGGCCUCUCACUGUUGUGGCCUCUCCCGUUGCGGAGCACAGGCUCCAGACGCAGGCUCAGCGGCCAUGGCUCACGGGCCCAGCUGCUCCGCGGCAUGUGGGAUCUUCCCGGACCGGGGCACGAACCUGCGUCCCCUGCAUCGGCAGGCGGACUCUCAACUACUGCGCCACCAGGGAAGCCCGAUAACGAACAUUUAUUGAGAACAAGUCAUCACCAGAAAAUCUUUGGGAUACAGUACACAAAGAGAGGAGCUGCCAGUGCUGGAAGGACGGGUCCCAGAAGGGCAAAGCCUUUCUUGCCUGCUGCUUCCAGGGAUGUGUGGUGUGUAUCUCAGCGUGCUAUGCCAGAGGGUUUUAUUUCACCUCCCUUGAAUGGAAUGGUAGUCAUCCAGCAGGCCUGGGUGCACAUAAAUAGACGGACACGUAAGCCUGCGUUUCAUAUCCAGAACAUAAACCAGCCACCACCGCGCGCUACACGGUCAUGUUUUGAUGAAAGACUGCUGACAGCACCACAGACCAUGCCGUGGGGCCCAGCGAACCACCUAAUCCCAACUGCUUUAUCCCAGGCAUCGAUGGGGCACAUUUCUCUGCCAGGAACAACUUCUUUCCAGCCACCAGCAGCUCUCAGUUUCUUUGGCUUUUCCUGCUUCAGCUGCCCGUUACUGGUGACCCUCAGUCAGAGAGGCCAGGGUGAACACGGAAGACUGAAAUGUACAGCUAAUCCCCCCAUUUUUUUUUUCCAGGCAGAAAAUUUAGACCCAUUUGCCUGUGAAGCCCUUUGACUCUGGAACUCAUGUCAAAAGGGCCCAUUGAAAGCUUAGCAUUUCCACAUCUCCUGCCUAACUUUCUCCAGCGUACAACAGGGGAGUGUCCCGUCCUAGACUCUGCAGGAUUAAGUAUGAAUUCCUGCCAUUCAGAUUCUAUACAAUAUGGUCCCAAACUACCUUUCCCAUUCUAUAACCACUAUGUCCUUACUUUAGCCUCUGUUUGAGUCUUGUCCGCUUUCCAUUUUCCAAGGCCACUUAUAUCACUAUGCCAUUGUAAUGGUCCCCUCCCCUGGAACAGUCCCCCUCUCGCUGCCUGUUGAAAGCAUUUCUGUCCUUUAAGGCUGCGUUUCAUUCCGAGACCUCCAUGACCACUCCCACUGGUGUCUUUCUCUCCAGAGCGUGCAUUGUUUCUACUCUUUACUCAAUGAGUCAUUAAUUACUUAUGAUAGAUUCUUUGUAGUCUUGUACACUGAUUAGAACUGACAUUUUUCACAUUGGAAUGCUAGAUUCUAGUCUCCUCUAGAGUGGAAUCCCCAUGAGGUCAGGGUUCGUGCAUUAUCUUCCUUGUAACUCCUACGGUGUUAAGUGCUGUAUCUACAAGAGGAGCCAGGAAGUGCUUGUUGAUUGAAUGAAUAAUAAUCCACUCUUGAAAAAUCAGAGCUUUGGCAGUGUCUGUGAGUGAAUCCAGUGACCUUUCAAGGACAUUCUCUGGCUAAGCAGCGAAAAAUUGGAAUAUGAGGUAAUAAUUAAAGUUAUUCUCAGGUCCAGAAGGGAGCUCAGAGACUAUCCCUCCACUGAAGUGCCCUGGAGCCAUCUAGAAUGUCAGCUUAACUCAGCUUCCACGCUGGGUUGCUUCCACAGUUUUGGGUUUCUUGGCAUUCUAGUCUAUGGAUUCAGAAGACCUGAUUUUUACAAUUGUCAUCCCUCAAUAACCUUCAUAUAUUUAUUCAGUAAAUACUUGAUUUGAAUUAAACUGGGAGCAGUUCUAACCUUUUUCUAGAUAUUGUGGAGAAUGGGUCUGGGAUGUUUGAGUAAGAUGUAAGUGCUUUUUAUACAACAUUUGAGUUUUGAACCAUGCCUUUGGAAUUCCAUAAGUACCUGAAGUGUCUAGUCAGUGAUUGCAGCACUUGUUCUUUAAAUAGUGGAUUUGACUUUUGUGAACCUCUAAAUAUAAUUUUUAGAUAAAUCUGAUUAAUAAAAUGGAGACUCAAAUAUGGUAAUAUUUUAGCAAAAAUAAGGAAUAAAAAAAAUUAGAAAAAAAAACCCCAUGAUUUUUACGUGUGGCUUAUAAAAGGGCUUUGAAGGUGAUUCCAAAAGAAAAUUUUCAGAAAUGUAUUAAAUUAUGGAAGCAUUACUGUAAUAAGAAUAGCUUUCACUUACUGAGCAUUUGUUGUGAGUCAUUAAGUACUUGAUAUUCAAAAUCUCAUUUAAUCCUAAAAGCAACCUGAUGAAGAGGGAUUUUAUUAGCUCCAUUUCAGAGGCAUGGAAACUGAAGGUUAAAAUAGUUAACCUGGAUUUGAACGCCAAAGUCAAUGUACCACUGUGACGACCAUCUUGAAGGACAAACACUGAUUGCAUAUGAAAGGUGGAGUAUUUCCUGCCAUAUCAGUAAAGAAAGUAUGUCACAGUCAUCACCAAUUGCAGCCACCACUGCAAUGGAUGUGAGCUGGAGAGCCCUGAGGGAACUCAGGAAGGAAAGAAUACCUGCCAUCUAGCAGCCAUCAGGCUGCAGCCACUCCCCACGGUGCACCCUGAGGAGACUCGGGAUGAGAAAGUGCAGGAUACUGGCCCCAGAGAGCUGAGGUGCACAUCAAAGGAAUGAUUUCAGUGAGCACAGACUCUUGCAUCUUCCCAUCCAUAGAAAAGCGCUAAAUUCCUUAACUUGGGAUAUCUGGUUUUCUUUCAUUAAAAAUAAUCUUUUGGGGACUUCCCUGGUGGCGCAGUGGUUAAGACUCUGCACUCCCAAUGCAGGGGGCCCAGGCUCGGUCCCUGGCCAGGGAUUCACUCACAGACACUAGAUCCCACAUGCAUGCCGUAACUAGGAGUUCGCAUGCCACAGCUAAGGAGCCCGCCUGCCGCAACUAAGACCCAGCACAACCAAAUAAAUAUUAAAAAAAUAAUAAUAAUCUUUUGAUGUUCUGGCUCCCUGUCCUUUGUUGCAAAACUUCUGUUGAUAUAUAACCUGGCUCCCACCUCGCCUCUUUGGAGCAGUUUUCUCAGGGUUACUUGAGAUGUUGCCUCCCGGGCCUGAAGUCCUAAAAAUUCCCGCUGAAUAAAACAUAACUCUCAACUUUUAGGUUGUGAAUAAUUUUUUAGGUCCACAGAUAUGUUCAACUUCUCAUGUUUAAGGCCACUUAGGGCUGGUCAUUGCACAACUCCGGGGUCAGCACUUGCCCCCUGCUCAUAGCAUAUUUGGGUCGUUUUUAAUGACACCUUUCUAGCAGAUGGCGGUAAACUGUCUUGAGCAAGGUGGGUGGGGAGUGGUUCCUGAUUCACAGUUGCUCAAAAAUGGUUCUCAGUGCUCUAUGGUCACAUGUAGAAGGCAGGGGCCGUAACCUGGAGAAAUUAAAAAUCUUGAGCAGCUUCUAGAUGAGCCAUCUUGGAACUGACAAAUGAGGGUUCUUAUUACUUAGGGUCUGAAGUAAUAUCUCACUUGCCCGUUGUCAUGGUACUGCCCUUCUUCUGUAUUUGGAGUGAACUGUAAUCUCCUAAUCUUCUUAGUUAUUAACGUAAUUUAAUGGAACAAGAAGUGUGUUGAGAAUCUCCUAUGCAGAAGAAGCUAUGAUAGUUCCUUUACAGGAGGAAUGAGGAUGGGGAAUGGUGGGGCAUGGAGAGACCUGGUGGAGGUGGGAAUUCGAGGGGAGAUGCAGGAAUGAAUGCGUGGCUGGAUCUUACUUUAUAAACCGCAGAGGAGACUGAACUAUCAGGACCGUACAUAAGUAUUAUGACGGUGGGGUUGGAGGCAGGAUAUAAACAAGAAUCCUUUGGGAACCUAAGGGAGAGAGGAGUUUAUUCGGUCUGGGAGAGCUGGAGAAGCCUUCACGGAGGAUGGGCCAUUUGAGCUAACUCUUGAAGGACGGGCAGGCCCCUGACAGAAGGAGAAGGAAGGAACAGGAGCAAGAAAACAUGAGGUGAAAGCGGUGUAGCUGCCAGAGUGAGCUCUGCAUACAUGUGUUGGGGCAGGUAGGGACUGUGGCAGAAAAAGUAAAGAAACUUGAAUACCCUCUUAAAGACUUCAGACUUUACUGGGCAAUGGGGAGUCCCUGAAGAACUCUGAGCACCGAAGACCUUUUGAUCUCUUGAUUUUCCGGAGAUGACUCCUUUUGCAUGCAGUUCUUGGCAGUGUUGGCUACAUUAUGCGGGCGCGAGAUUUCACUUUUCUUUUUUUC
Long non-coding RNA from Globicephala melas (long-finned pilot whale), 4743 nucleotides. RefSeq lists it as uncharacterized. The record is from RefSeq and is a predicted model, not a curated record. NCBI's taxonomy places the organism in Eukaryota, Metazoa, Chordata, Mammalia, Artiodactyla, Delphinidae.